RNAcentral lists this small nuclear RNA (137 nucleotides) under Ovis aries (sheep). RNAcentral's name for it is "U2 spliceosomal RNA (ENSOARG00225037606.1)". The stretch from base 1 to 99 matches the Rfam family "U2 spliceosomal RNA". From Rfam's summary of the family: U2 is a small nuclear RNA (snRNA) component of the spliceosome (involved in pre-mRNA splicing). Complementary binding between U2 snRNA (in an area lying towards the 5' end but 3' to hairpin I) and the branchpoint sequence (BPS) of the intron results the bulging out of an unpaired adenosine, on the BPS, which initiates a nucleophilic attack at the intronic 5' splice site, thus starting the first of two transesterification reactions that mediate splicing. The record is from RNAcentral. Lineage: Eukaryota; Metazoa; Chordata; Mammalia; Artiodactyla; Bovidae.
AUAAUUGGCUCGGCCUUUUGGCUAAGAUCAAGUGUAGUAUCUGUUCACAUAGAUUUUUUUAUAGAAGUCUAAAAUCUGCAUAGAAAUGCAAUACCAAACAAAUGUAAUUAAAUACUAUACAAAGACCGGAAACUCUU